Molecule: small RNA, 79 nt
Filed under: Klebsiella sp. RIT-PI-d
Lineage: Bacteria; Pseudomonadati; Pseudomonadota; Gammaproteobacteria; Enterobacterales; Enterobacteriaceae
Description: sroB RNA
Rfam family: sroB RNA
Source: Rfam by way of RNAcentral
UUACCGGAGUUCGCUCCGGCAUAAUAAUAAAGAUGAAAUUCCUCUUUGACGGGCCAAUAGCAAUAUUGGCCACUUUUUU